Alosa sapidissima (American shad) is the source of this 135-nucleotide long non-coding RNA. RefSeq lists it as uncharacterized. The record is from RefSeq and is a predicted model, not a curated record. NCBI's taxonomy places the organism in Eukaryota, Metazoa, Chordata, Actinopteri, Clupeiformes, Clupeidae. The transcript is spliced from 4 exons.
AACAGAAGUUUGUGUGUGCGUCUGUCUCACUCAGUGGGACACACGCAUCACAGCGAUAUGAGAGUGCUGCGCUACCUGAAGGAGAGAUUUUAAAACUUUGAGAGAUACCAACGGCAAUAGCCUAUGGAGGAGAAA